This 556-nucleotide long non-coding RNA is filed under the name Setaria viridis. Its description in RNAcentral is "long non-coding RNA (SVIR_LNC004160)". Lineage: Eukaryota; Viridiplantae; Streptophyta; Magnoliopsida; Poales; Poaceae. The record is from RNAcentral.
AACACUAACAUCAAGAGUACAAGCAAGGUUUAUUAGAAUUGAAACAAGUUAUCAUUUACCUUGCAGCAGGAUGCAUACCAGCGCCCAGGGUUGUCAAAUGUCCAAUCAUACUUCACAUGGAGAGGAAACCCAUGCUCGCACUUAUUUUCAGGAUGCACAAUGAUAACAUCAGGCGACGGCGAUCUAGUGCUAAUAGUGAGUCUAGGUUCAUCUAGAAGCUAAUAAAAUACAAGAACCUAUCAAAUUAUAAACUAACUGCAUCACGAAAGUCAUUGUAACUUGAAAUUAAUGCCUAGCUUUGCACUUCAUAAACUAUAGCCUAUCAACUUCUAACACCAAUCGAAAUGCAAAAAUCUAAGGGUACAACGAAAUCAAAAUCUUGUCUCUUCAACCCAGAUCCCCAAAUCUAGAAAUCCACUUCCCUAUGAUGAUAGGGGAAAGUAGCGGCAAAAACCAAGGGACUGACCUGACCAUACCUCCUCCUCCUUCCAUCGCUGCUAGGAACCACCAUUCCCACCACUGGUCGUUGCAGAUCUGCGCACCUAUGCUAGCUCUA